GACGAACGCUGGCGGCGUGCUUAACACAUGCAAGUCGAGCGGUAAGGCCCUUUCGGGGGUACACGAGCGGCGAACGGGUGAGUAACACGUGGGUGACCUGCCCUCAGCUCUGGGAUAAGCCUGGGAAACCGGGUCUAAUACCGGAUAUGACUCCAUGACGCAUGUUGUGGGGUGGAAAGCCUUGUGCGGCUGAGGAUGGGCCCGCGGCCUAUCAGCUUGUUGGUGGGGUGANGGCCUACCAAGGCGACGACGGGUAGCCGGCCUGAGAGGGCGACCGGCCACACUGGGACUGAGACACGGCCCAGGCUCCUACGGGAGGCAGCAGUAAGGAAUAUUGCGCAAUGGGCGAAAGCCUGACGCAGCGACGCCGCGUGGGGAUGAAGGUCUU
This 388-nucleotide ribosomal RNA is filed under the name uncultured bacterium. Its description in RNAcentral is "bacterial SSU rRNA". It matches the Rfam family "Bacterial small subunit ribosomal RNA", at positions 28 to 418 of the family's 1533-position model. The record is from RNAcentral.